RNAcentral lists this transfer RNA (76 nucleotides) under Nocardioides iriomotensis. RNAcentral's name for it is "tRNA-Leu". It matches the Rfam family "tRNA". From Rfam's summary of the family: Transfer RNA (tRNA) molecules are approximately 80 nucleotides in length. Their secondary structure includes four short double-helical elements and three loops (D, anti-codon, and T loops). Further hydrogen bonds mediate the characteristic L-shaped molecular structure. tRNAs have two regions of fundamental functional importance: the anti-codon, which is responsible for specific mRNA codon recognition, and the 3' end, to which the tRNAs corresponding amino acid is attached (by aminoacyl-tRNA synthetases). tRNAs cope with the degeneracy of the genetic code in two manners: having more than one tRNA (with a specific anti-codon) for a particular amino acid; and 'wobble' base-pairing, i.e. permitting non-standard base-pairing at the 3rd anti-codon position. The record is from RNAcentral. Lineage: Bacteria; Bacillati; Actinomycetota; Actinomycetes; Propionibacteriales; Nocardioidaceae.
GCCCCCGUAGCCCAAUGGCAGAGGCAGAGGUCUUAAACACCUCUCAGUGUCAGUUCGAGUCUGACCGGGGGCACCC